RNAcentral lists this ribosomal RNA (743 nucleotides) under Escherichia coli. Its description in RNAcentral is "partial 23S ribosomal RNA". It matches the Rfam family "Bacterial large subunit ribosomal RNA", at positions 2188 to 2925 of the family's 2925-position model. Lineage: Bacteria; Pseudomonadati; Pseudomonadota; Gammaproteobacteria; Enterobacterales; Enterobacteriaceae. The record is from RNAcentral.
GACCUUGAAAUACCACCCUUUAAUGUUUGAUGUUCUAACGUUGACCCGUAAUCCGGGUUGCGGACAGUGUCUGGUGGGUAGUUUGACUGGGGCGGUCUCCUCCUAAAGAGUAACGGAGGAGCACGAAGGUUGGCUAAUCCUGGUCGGACAUCAGGAGGUUAGUGCAAUGGCAUAAGCCAGCUUGACUGCGAGCGUGACGGCGCGAGCAGGUGCGAAAGCAGGUCAUAGUGAUCCGGUGGUUCUGAAUGGAAGGGCCAUCGCUCAACGGAUAAAAGGUACUCCGGGGAUAACAGGCUGAUACCGCCCAAGAGUUCAUAUCGACGGCGGUGUUUGGCACCUCGAUGUCGGCUCAUCACAUCCUGGGGCUGAAGUAGGUCCCAAGGGUAUGGCUGUUCGCCAUUUAAAGUGGUACGCGAGCUGGGUUUAGAACGUCGUGAGACAGUUCGGUCCCUAUCUGCCGUGGGCGCUGGAGAACUGAGGGGGGCUGCUCCUAGUACGAGAGGACCGGAGUGGACGCAUCACUGGUGUUCGGGUUGUCAUGCCAAUGGCACUGCCCGGUAGCUAAAUGCGGAAGAGAUAAGUGCUGAAAGCAUCUAAGCACGAAACUUGCCCCGAGAUGAGUUCUCCCUGACUCCUUGAGAGUCCUGAAGGAACGUUGAAGACGACGACGUUGAUAGGCCGGGUGUGUAAGCGCAGCGAUGCGUUGAGCUAACCGGUACUAAUGAACCGUGAGGCUUAACCUU